UAGUCUACGCCGUAAACGAUGGAUACUAGUUGUUUGACCUUCGGGUUGAGUGACUAAGCGAAAGUGAUAAGUAUCCCACCUGGGGAGUACGUUCGCAAGAAUGAAACUCAAAGGAAUUGACGGGGGCCCGCACAAGCGGUGGAGCAUGUGGUUUAAUUCGAUGAUACGCGAGGAACCUUACCAGGGCUUAAAUGUAGUCUGACAGCUUUAGAGAUAGAGUUUUCUUCGGACAGAUUACAAGGUGCUGCAUGGUUGUCGUCAGCUCGUGCCGUGAGGUGUCAGGUUAAGUCCUAUAACGAGCGCAACCCCUGUGGUUAGUUGCCAGCGAGUAAUGUCGGGAACUCUAGCCAGACUGCCGGUGCAAACCGUGAGGAAGGUGGGGAUGACGUCAAAUCAUCACGGCCCUUACGUCCUGGGCCACACACGUGCUACAAUGCAACGUACAAAGCGAAGCGAAAUCGCGAGAUCAAGCAAACCGCACAAAACGUUAGCUCAGUUCGGAUUGC
Molecule: ribosomal RNA, 506 nt
Filed under: uncultured bacterium
Lineage: Bacteria
Description: bacterial SSU rRNA
Rfam family: Bacterial small subunit ribosomal RNA
Source: RNAcentral